GUUGCCGUGGCCGAGCGGUUAAGGCGUUGGACUAGAAAUCCAAUGGGAUCUUCCCGCGCAGGUUCGAAUCCUGCCCGCAAUU
Molecule: transfer RNA, 82 nt
Filed under: Nematostella vectensis (starlet sea anemone)
Lineage: Eukaryota; Metazoa; Cnidaria; Anthozoa; Actiniaria; Edwardsiidae
Rfam family: tRNA
About the family: Transfer RNA (tRNA) molecules are approximately 80 nucleotides in length. Their secondary structure includes four short double-helical elements and three loops (D, anti-codon, and T loops).
Source: Rfam by way of RNAcentral